UAUUAAGUACAUGCCUAUAGCAUUAAUUUGUCAGAUCCCAUUAGAACUUCAUAGUUAAGCGCACUUGGGCUAGAGUAGUAUUGGGAUGGGUGACCGCCCGGGAAGUCCUAGUGUUCUACAUGC
Non-coding RNA from Picea glauca (white spruce), 123 nucleotides. NCBI's taxonomy places the organism in Eukaryota, Viridiplantae, Streptophyta, Pinopsida, Pinales, Pinaceae. The record is from Rfam.